GUCAUGUGGGGAAAUACUUACACUAGGCGUCGCAGGCUGCGUGAUGUGCGCAGGGCCGCUGAGCGCGCCCAGAGCCUGGCCAAGGGGGCUGGCGCCGUUAGUGGCUAGCCAGGCGCCCAGGCGGCUUGGACAGAUUAGGAGAGUCCAGGUUUGGUAAGAUAGGGAUUGUUUAGAAAGAGAUUAUCAGGUUUCCUUAAGUUUAGAGGAUUAGUUUCCUUUCUUGUUGGGAGUCCAGGCUAUAAAGCCUUGUAAUUGGAGACCUUUUGAAAUCAAGCAAGAUUAAACCUAUCUCUCUUCUUCUUCCUCUCAAGCCGCCGGCCAGGGGGCAUAACCCGACCAGCGAGGAUAGGCGAGGGGGCAUAACCCCGCCAGUUAUCACGGACCAAGGCUACGAGCUACGUAGCCGAGGGCCGCCGUCGCUGGGCAAUAACGCCCUUGACAACCUGGUAUCACGGUCACGCCGAUCCUCGUCCAUCUCUCAAACUUCCACUGCCGCAGCCCACCCUGCCCUGCCGCCAACCCCUACGUCCUCCACUGCGUCCACCUGUCCCCCACCCGCCAUGGCUGAUCCCACCAUCGCCGAUGUCGUCGAGAUGCUGAAGUCCUUCAAGGAGGAGAUGUUCUCCAUGAAGGCCGACAUGCUGGCACUGAAGGAGAAGUCGGCUUCGACGUCCGAGAGCACGGGCGGCGGCCAGCGCGACUUGGAUCGUCCCCCCAAGUUCCAGAAGCUUGAUUUCCCGCGCUUCGACGGCAAGUCCGAUCCGCUGCUCUUCACCAACAAGUGCGAAUCGUACUUUCGGCAGCAGCGCACUUUGGCCGAGGAGCGCGUCUGGAUGGCGUCCUACAACCUCGAAGAUGUCGCACAGCUCUGGUUCAUCCAGUUGCAAGAGGACGAGGGCACUCCUUCCUGGGGUCGUUUCAGAGACCUUCUCCACCUGCGGUUUGGGCCGCCCCUGAGGUCGGCUCCGCUCUUCGAGCUCGCGGAGUGUCGCCGCACAGGUACUGUCGAAGAGUACUCUAAUCGUUUUCAGGCCCUGCUACCACGCGCCGGGAGAUUGGAGGAGACCCAGCGCGUUCAGCUCUACACAGGGGGACUGCUCCCACCCCUGAGUCACGCAGUUCGCAUCCACAACCCGGAGACCCUCGCUGCCGCGAUGAGUCUGGCGCGCCAGGUCGAGCUGAUGGAGUUGGAUCGCGCCCCAGCCGCGCUCCCGCCACCAGCCCCGCGCGCUGGUCCAGCACCCCGGCUGGCGGUCAGACCGGCUCCAGCACCCCUGGCGCUCCCGGCCCCGGCGCCGGCCCUGCCAGCACUCCCAGCACCGCCACCCAGGGGGGCGCCCAACCAGGUCAAGCGGCUGUCGACCGAGGAACAAGCCGAACGACGACGCCUCGGUCUUUGCUACAAUUGCAACGAGCCGUAUUCCAGGGGUCACAACCGGGUCUGCCGCCGUAUCUUCUUCAUUGAUGGGGUCGAGCUCGCAGACGACGAGGCCGUUCCCGACGAUGCCGCGCCAGCCGCCCCCGUGUUCUCCCUCCGCGCCGUCACGGGUAUGCCCAUCUGUGAUACGAUGCAGGUACGAGUGGCCGUGGGCGACGUCACCCUCACGGCGCUCCUCGACACGGGCUCUACCCACAACUUCAUCGCGGAGACGGCUGCGACGCGCACCGGCCUCCCUGUCCUCGCCGACCCGCGCCUCACCGCCACCGUCGCCAAUGGCGAACGCAUCGCGUGUCCAGGCGUGCUGCGACAGGCGCCGAUCAUCAUCGACGGCGAGGGUUUCUGCGUCGACCUCUACAUUCUGCCCCUCGCCGGUUAUGAUCUGGUCCUGGGCACCCAAUGGCUGGUGACCCUGGGCCGGAUUGAGUGGGACUUCACCGCGCGCACGCUGUCCUUUACCCGCCAGGACAGGCGCGUGUGCUGGUCCGACGUGGCCACACCCACGCCAGCCCUCACCGCCGCCGUGACUGCACCGACGACCCUCCUGGACGAGCUGCUGCUCGCCUUUGGGAGUCUCUUCGCGGAGCCGGUUGGUCUGCCCCCUCAGCGCACCCGCGACCACAGCAUCGUCCUCAAGCCCGGCGCGCUGCCGGUAGCUGUACGGCCCUACCGCUACCCCGCUGCGCACAAAGACGAACUCGAGCGGCAGUGCGCCGCCAUGCUGGAGCACGGCAUCAUACGACGCAGCGACUCCGCGUUCUCGUCCCCGGUCCUCCUCGUCAAGAAGCCGGACGGGUCGUGGCGCUUCUGCGUCGACUACAGAGCGCUCAACGCGCUCACCAUCAAAGACGCGUUCCCCAUACCGGUGGUCGACGAGCUCUUGGAUGAGCUCCACGGGGCCUGCUACUUCACCAAGCUCGACCUCCGCUCGGGGUAUCAUCAAGUCCGCAUGCGGCCGGCAGACAUCCACAAGACGGCGUUCCGCACGCACGAUGGCCUCUAUGAGUUCCUGGUCAUGGCCUUUGGGCUAUGCAAUGCUCCGGCCACGUUCCAGGCUUUGAUGAAUGAUGUUCUUCGUCCGUUCCUCCGUCGUUUUGUGCUGGUGUUCUUUGACGAUAUUUUGAUUUACAGCAGCACUUGGGCCGAUCACCUACGCCAUCUUCGUGCGGUCUUCGACGAGCUGCAGCGCCACAAGCUCUUCCUCAAGCGCUCCAAGUGCGCGUUCGCUGCAGCGUCGGUCGCGUACCUGGGCCACGUCGUCUCUGCUGCUGGCGUCGCUAUGGACCCCGCCAAGCUCCAAGCUGUGCGGGACUGGCCGCAGCCACGGUCCGCCCGGGCAGUGCGGGGGUUCCUGGGGCUAGCCGGCUACUACCGCAAGUUCGUCCACAAUUAUGGGACCAUCGCAGCACCUCUCACCGCCCUGCUGAAGAAGGACGGCUUCUCGUGGUCCGCCGAGGCCGCUGCUGCGUUCGAUGCCCUCAAGGACGCGGUAACCUCGGCGCCGGUGCUCGCCAUGCCGGACUUCUCCAAGCAGUUCGUCGUCGAAUGCGACGCAUCGUCGCAUGGCUUCGGGGCGGUACUGGUCCAGGAGGGCCACCCCAUCGCCUUCUUCAGCCGUCCCGUGGCGCCACGUCACCAAGCUCUCGCCGCCUACGAACGCGAGCUCAUCGGCCUUGUGCACGCAGUUCGCCAUUGGCGGCCGUAUUUAUGGGGGCGCCGCUUCACUGUCAAGACCGACCACUAUAGCCUCAAGUACCUGCUGGACCAGCGCUUGUCAACCAUCCCUCAGCAUCACUGGGUUGGCAAGCUGCUGGGCUUCGACUUCACCGUGGAGUACAAGCCGGGGCACUCGAACGCCGUGGCUGAUGCUCUCUCACGGCGGGACACUGUCGAGGAGGGCACGGUCCUAGUGCUGUCCGCGCCCCGCUUCGAGUUCGUGCAGCGUCUGCGCCAGGCUCACGCAACCGAUCCGGCACUCGUCGCCCUCCAGCAGGAGAUCAGUGCGGGCACACGGGCGCUCCCCUGGGCCCUGUCCGACGGGCUGGUCACGUACAGCGGGCGGCUGUACCUUCCACCGGCCUCCCCCUUGCUGCAGGAGGCUCUGCGCGCCGUCCACGAGGAGGGCCAUGAGGGGGUCCAGCGCACGCUGCACCGACUUCGUCGCGAUUUUCACUUCCCUCACAUGAAGACGGUGGUGCAGGACUUUGUGCGGGGCUGCUCCAUCUGCCAGCGCCACAAGUCAGAGCAUCUUCACCCGGCGGGGCUCCUACUACCACUACCCGUGCCGCAGGGGGUGUGGUCCGACAUCGCCAUGGACUUCGUCGAGGCCCUUCCCCGCGUUAAGGGCAAGUCCGUCAUCCUCACCGUCGUCGACAGAUUCAGCAAGUAUUGCCACUUCAUUCCUUUGGCGCAUCCGUACUCGGCGGAGGGGGUGGCCCAAGCAUUCUUCGCAGACGUCGUCCGGCUCCACGGCAUUCCGCAGUCCAUCGUGUCCGACCGCGACACGGUGUUCACUUCCAACUUUUGGCGCGAGUUGAUGCGCCUGAGUGGCACAAAACUGCAGAUGUCGACAGCUUUUCACCCCCAGACGGACGGGCAGUCCGAAUCCGCUAACAAAGUCAUCAUCAUGUAUUUGCGUUGCCUGACAGGAGACAGACCUCGCGACUGGCUGCGGUGGCUUCCAUGGGCAGAGUACGUCUUCAACACCGCGUUCCAGUCCUCGCUUCAGGACACUCCAUUCCGUGUUGUGUACGGCCGGGAUCCGCCGUCCAUUCGCUCCUACGAGCCGGGCGAGACCCGGGUCGCUGCAGUGGCUCAGACCAUGGAGGAACGCGCUGAGUUCAUCGCCGACGUCAAGCACCGCCUCGAGCAAGCCCAGGCAGUUCAAAAACGCCACUACGACCGGGGUCAUCGGCCGGUCUCGUACCUGGUGGGAGACUGGGUGCUCCUUCGCCUUCGACAGAGGCCUGCUGCGUCCCUGUCCAGGGCUCCUGCCGGCAAGCUGAAGCCCAAGUUCUACGGCCCGUAUCGGGUGGUGGAGCUCAUCAACGACGUCGCCGUCCGCCUCGACCUGCCGCCCCAAGCUCGCAUCCACGACGUGUUCCACGUGGGCCUUCUCAAGAAGUUCCACGGCGAGCCCCCAGCCGCUCCGCCUCCCCUCCCUCCGCUCCGCCAUGGCGCUGUGGUGCCCGAGCCUGAGCAAGUGGUCAAGUCACGCUUGGCCAGGGGCGUGCGUCAAGUCCUCAUCAAAUGGAAGGGGUCAUCACCGGCUUCAGCUACAUGGGAAGAUGUUGACGUCUUCCGCGCUGCGUACCCACAGUUCCAGCUCGAGGACGAGCUGCCUCUCGAGGAGGGGAGAGAUGUCAUGUGGGGAAAUACUUACACUAGGCGUCGCAGGCUGCGUGAUGUGCGCAGGGCCGCUGAGCGCGCCCAGAGCCUGGCCAAGGGGGCUGGCGCCGUUAGUGGCUAGCCAGGCGCCCAGGCGGCUUGGACAGAUUAGGAGAGUCCAGGUUUGGUAAGAUAGGGAUUGUUUAGAAAGAGAUUAUCAGGUUUCCUUAAGUUUAGAGGAUUAGUUUCCUUUCUUGUUGGGAGUCCAGGCUAUAAAGCCUUGUAAUUGGAGACCUUUUGAAAUCAAGCAAGAUUAAACCUAUCUCUCUUCUUCUUCCUCUCAAGCCGCCGGCCAGGGGGCAUAACCCGACCAGCGAGGAUAGGCGAGGGGGCAUAACCCCGCCAGUUAUCACGGACCAAGGCUACGAGCUACGUAGCCGAGGGCCGCCGUCGCUGGGCAAUAACGCCCUUGACAAUUGAAAAGUUUGAUCUUAUAUAAAAAGAAACAACACCCGUGCCCUUUUCAGUACACCCCUUUUACAUAGGUACAUGAAUUUUGAUGCUAACUAAAUGGUGGAAAUUAAGGGAUAGUCUUCGUGAGGCCAUUUUCACUUUCAGAGUUUAGCCAUUUCAGUUGUCUGCCAUCAGGCCCAAGCCAUUAACUUUGGAUCUGAACUCUCAAGCACCCUACUUGAUUGGGGUCUUUGUUCUAUGGAAAAGAUGAGAGUAUUGUCAAAUGAAUUGUUGAGCAGUGUGAAGG
Molecule: long non-coding RNA, 5525 nt
Filed under: Sorghum bicolor (sorghum)
Lineage: Eukaryota; Viridiplantae; Streptophyta; Magnoliopsida; Poales; Poaceae
Description: long non-coding RNA (SBIC_LNC004478)
Source: RNAcentral